This 484-nucleotide ribosomal RNA is filed under the name uncultured bacterium. RNAcentral describes it as "partial 16S ribosomal RNA". It matches the Rfam family "Bacterial small subunit ribosomal RNA", at positions 39 to 507 of the family's 1533-position model. The record is from RNAcentral.
GGGGGGGGGGGGGGGGGGGGGGGGGGGGGGGGGGGGGGGGGGGGGGGGGGGGCGUGCGCGGGGGGUCGGCGGCGGACGGGUGAGGGAUGCCGAGGAAUCUGCCUGGUAGUGGGGGAUAACGUCCGGAAACGGGCGCUAAUACCGCAUACGUCCUGAGGGAGAAAGUGGGGGAGCUUCGGACCUCACGCUAUCAGAUGAGCCUAGGUCGGAUUAGCUAGUUGGUGGGGUAAAGGCCUACCAAGGCGACGAUCCGUAACUGGUCUGAGAGGAUGAUCAGUCACACUGGAACUGAGACACGGUCCAGACUCCUACGGGAGGCAGCAGUGGGGAAUAUUGGACAAUGGGCGAAAGCCUGAUCCAGCCAUGCCGCGUGUGUGAAGAAGGUCUUCGGAUUGUAAAGCACUUUAAGUUGGGAGGAAGGGCAGUAAGUUAAUACCUUGCUGUUUUGACGUUACCAACAGAAUAAGCACCGGCUAACUUCGUG